Molecule: long non-coding RNA, 666 nt
Organism: Suricata suricatta (meerkat)
Lineage: Eukaryota; Metazoa; Chordata; Mammalia; Carnivora; Herpestidae
Exons: 3
Source: RefSeq, a predicted model, not a curated record
GUACACGCCUACACAACACUGGGUGACAGCUAUGCUCCAGUUAGAACAGAAUCUGACCACAGAACAUUUGUAGAAGUGAGGGAGUGGAAUUCGUGCCAGAAGAACGCUCCUGAAGCCCCGACCUCCGCACAGAACCUACCAGAACCUACCACCGCCGGGCGCCGCGCCCCACCUCCAAGGCGGGGCUGGGUCCGCAGCAGACACGCCCACUGUCUCGGCUCCGCGACAGUAAAGGUGGUCUGCUGACGUCACAGGUUGGACAGCAGGGCGCAGGUGGUCGCUCAGCGCCGCGAUGGAAGUACGCAGGCUGCAGACUCCUCUCGCCUCCACCCUAACCCCGCUGCUGACCCGCAGGCCCGGGCGCCGAGCGUCUAGCGCCGAGCCCGGGCGCAGGAAACGGGCAGCACCGCGCCGGCUGUCCGCAGCGACCGGGACCGGCGGGAAGCAAGCACGGGACGCGACAGGCCACGAGCUCCACGCGCCGCAGUCGCUUCACGCCUCUGCGAGCUCCCAAGGCAGGGCGGUGACUGCCCCCACGGUGUCGGGCACUUACCGGACGCCCAACAGACACUGCCGACCGCACGAGGGAGUGGACGGCUGUCGGAACAGGGGACGUUACAUCCGAUCUGGAAGAUUCCCUCCCACUUGUCCAACAACUUCUGCCAA